This 427-nucleotide ribosomal RNA is filed under the name uncultured bacterium. RNAcentral's name for it is "partial 16S ribosomal RNA". It matches the Rfam family "Bacterial small subunit ribosomal RNA", at positions 355 to 774 of the family's 1533-position model. The record is from RNAcentral.
UGGGGAAUAUUGGACAAUGGGCGAAAGCCUGAUCCAGCCAUGCCGCGUGUGUGAAGAAGGUCUUCGGAUUGUAAAGCACUUUAAGUUGGGAGGAAGGGCAUUAACCUAAUACGUUAGUGUUUUGACGUUACCUACAGAAUAAGCACCGGCUAACUCUGUGCCAGCAGCCGCGGUAAUACAGAGGGUGCAAGCGUUAAUCGGAAUUACUGGGCGUAAAGCGCGCGUAGGUGGUUUGUUAAGUUGGAUGUGAAAUCCCCGGGCUCAACCUGGGAACUGCAUUCAAAACUGACUGACUAGAGUAUGGUAGAGGGUGGUGGAAUUUCCUGUGUAGCGGUGAAAUGCGUAGAUAUAGGAAGGAACACCAGUGGCGAAGGCGACCACCUGGACUAAUACUGACACUGAGGUGCGAAAGCGUGGGGAGCAAACA